GAUGAACGCUGGCGGCGUGCUUAACACAUGCAAGUCGAACGAAGUGUUUAUUCAAAGUUCUUCGGGAUAGAGAAUAAAUUCCUUAGUGGCGGACGGGUGAGUAACGCGUGGGUAACCUGCCUCACACAGGGGGACAACAGUUGGAAACGACUGCUAAUACCGCAUAAGACCACAGCACCGCAUGGUGCAGGGGUAAAAGAUUUAUCGGUGUGAGAUGGACCGGCGUCUGAUUAGAUAGUUGGUGGGGUAGAAGCCUACCAAGUGAACGACCAGUAGCCGACCUGAGAAGGUGAUCGGCCACAUUGGGACUGAGGCACGGCCCGAACUCCUACGGGAGGCAGCGGAAGGGAAUAUUGGACAAUGGGGGAAACCCUGAUCCAGCAACGCCGCGUGAGUGAAGAAGUAUUUCGGUAAGUAAAGCUCUAUCAGCAGAGAAGAAAAUGACGGUACCUGACUAAGAAGCCCCGGCUAACUACGUG
RNAcentral lists this ribosomal RNA (479 nucleotides) under uncultured bacterium. Its description in RNAcentral is "partial 16S ribosomal RNA". It matches the Rfam family "Bacterial small subunit ribosomal RNA", at positions 28 to 507 of the family's 1533-position model. The record is from RNAcentral.